AGCGAACGCUGGCGGCAGGCCUAACACAUGCAAGUCGAACGGAUCCUUCGGGAUUAUUGGCGGACGGGUGAGUAACACGUGGGAACGUGCCCUUUGGUUCGGAACAACUCAGGGAAACUUGAGCUAAUACCGGAUGUGCCCUUCGGGGGAAAGAUUUAUCGCCAUUUGAGCGGCCCGCGUCUGAUUAGCUAGUUGGUGAGGUAACGGCCCACCAAGGCGACGAUCAGUAGCUGGUCUGAGAGGAUGAUCAGCCACACUGGGACUGAGACACGGCCCAGACUCCUACGGGAGGAAGCAGUGGGGAAUCUUGCGCACUGGGCGAAAGCCUGACGCAGCCAUGCCGCGUGAAUGAUGAAGGUCUUAGGAUUGUAAAAUUCUUUCAGCGGGGACGAUAAUGACGGUACCCGCAGAAGAAGCUCCGGCUAACUUCGUG
RNAcentral lists this ribosomal RNA (433 nucleotides) under uncultured bacterium. Its description in RNAcentral is "partial 16S ribosomal RNA". It matches the Rfam family "Bacterial small subunit ribosomal RNA", at positions 29 to 507 of the family's 1533-position model. The record is from RNAcentral.